This 393-nucleotide ribosomal RNA is filed under the name uncultured bacterium. RNAcentral's name for it is "partial 16S ribosomal RNA". It matches the Rfam family "Bacterial small subunit ribosomal RNA", at positions 523 to 918 of the family's 1533-position model. The record is from RNAcentral.
AUACGGAGGACGCGAGCGUUAUCCGGAUUCAUUGGGUUUAAAGGGUGCGCAGGCGGCCGUGCAAGUCAGCGGUGAAAGCCCGGGGCUCAACCCCGGAAGUGCCGUUGAUACUGCAUGGCUGGAAUGCGGUCGAGGCGGGCGGAACGGGGCGUGUAGCGGGGAAAUGCGUGGAUAUGCCACAGAAAGCCGAUAGCGGAGGCAGCUCGCCAGGCCUGCAUUGACGCUCGGGCACGAAAGCGUGGGGAUCGAACAGGAUUAGAUACCCUGGUAGUCCACGCCGUAAACGAUGGGCGCUCGUCGUCGGCGGCAGACAGUCGGCGGCCAAGCGAAAGCGAUAAGCGCCCCACCUGGGGAGUACGGUCGCAAGGCUGAAACUCAAAUGAAUUGACGGGG